UACGAAGGGGGCUAGCGUUGCUCGGAAUCACUGGGCGUAAAGCGCACGUAGGCGGCUUUCUAAGUCAGGGGUGAAAUCCUGGAGCUCAACUCCAGAACUGCCUUUGAUACUGGAGAGCUUGAUUAAACUUGAGGUAGGCGGAAUGUGACAAGUAGCGGUGAAAUGCAUAGAUAUGACAUAGAACACCGAUAGCGAAGGCAGCUUACUACAGGAUGAUUGACGCUGAGGCACGAAAGCGUGGGGAGCAAACAGG
RNAcentral lists this ribosomal RNA (253 nucleotides) under uncultured bacterium. RNAcentral's name for it is "partial 16S ribosomal RNA". It matches the Rfam family "Bacterial small subunit ribosomal RNA", at positions 524 to 776 of the family's 1533-position model. The record is from RNAcentral.